CGGUUGCCUGAUGGCUAAACGAACGUGGGUUGAAGAACGAACAAGGAGCGCUGAUUUUGAGAGCGCGCGCACGACAUCAUGUUUCUCGUCAUCGCGCACGGCGACGUCGCGACUCCACUUGCUUUGAUGCACGGUGGAGGACGCGGGACGGCCUAGCGAUGCACGGGAUCGCAUGCGUACGGCGCGUGAGCGGUGAUUCGGUAGUUUGGGUUGGCAGGGUCGUUGCUCGGCAUCGAACUGUCGGCGCCUGCUCCUCCUCGUCGAUGUGCCCCGAACGAAGUCCUUCGUUGGAGCGGCCGCAAUCGAUCGGUUCUUGCAUCGUUACCAAGCGCGAUGGAGCGUCGUGUCCCGAGAUCAGAAGAGCA
Molecule: long non-coding RNA, 365 nt
Organism: Cucumis sativus (cucumber)
Lineage: Eukaryota; Viridiplantae; Streptophyta; Magnoliopsida; Cucurbitales; Cucurbitaceae
Exons: 3
Source: RefSeq, a predicted model, not a curated record